CCCUUAGAUGUUCUGGGCCGCACGCGCGCUACACUGAUGCAUUCAACGAGUUUCUUCCUGGUCCGAGAGGAACGGGUAACCUUUUGAAAGUGCAUCGUGAUAGGGAUAGACUAUUGCAAUUAUUGGUCUUCAACGAGGAAUUCCUAGUAGACGUAGUUCAUCAGACUGCAUCGAUUACGUCCCUGCCCUUUGUACACACCGCCCGUCGCUCCUACCGAUUGAAUGCUCAGGUGAGCCAUUCGGACUUUCAUCAUGCUGGUUUCCAGUUUUGAUGAAGGAAAGUCUUGCGAACCUUAUCAUUUAGAGGAAGGAGAAGUCGUAACA
This 324-nucleotide ribosomal RNA is filed under the name uncultured eukaryote. Its description in RNAcentral is "partial 18S ribosomal RNA". It matches the Rfam family "Eukaryotic small subunit ribosomal RNA", at positions 1470 to 1796 of the family's 1831-position model. The record is from RNAcentral.